GACGGAAGGUGCAAGCGUUGCUCGGAAUCACUGGGCGUAAAGGGUGCGUAGGCGGCCGUGCAAGUCUGGCGUGAAAGCCCCGGGCUCAGCCCGGGAAGUGCGCUCGAAACUGCGCGGCUCGAGUGCCGGAGGGGAGAGUGGAAUUCCUGGUGUAGCGGUGAAAUGCGUAGAUAUCAGGAAGAACACCGGUGGCGAAGGCAGGUCUCUGGGCCGAUACUGACGCUGAGGAGCGAAAGCGUGGGGAGCGAACAGG
RNAcentral lists this ribosomal RNA (253 nucleotides) under uncultured bacterium. Its description in RNAcentral is "partial 16S ribosomal RNA". It matches the Rfam family "Bacterial small subunit ribosomal RNA", at positions 524 to 776 of the family's 1533-position model. The record is from RNAcentral.